RNAcentral lists this ribosomal RNA (558 nucleotides) under uncultured bacterium. RNAcentral's name for it is "bacterial SSU rRNA". It matches the Rfam family "Bacterial small subunit ribosomal RNA", at positions 9 to 524 of the family's 1533-position model. The record is from RNAcentral.
GAGUUUGAUCCUGGCUCAGGAUGAACGCUGGCGGCAUGCCUAAUACAUGCAAGUCAUACGGAUAGCCCCAAAAUCAUGAAGUAGCUUGCUACAGAUUGUGCUUGGAUUUUGCUAUCAGUGGCGAACGGGUGAGUAACACGUGGGCAACCUGCCCUAUGGUUUGGGAUAACUAUUAGAAAUGAUAGCUAAUACCGAAUAGUAGAUUUUAUCGCAUGAUUUAAUCUUUAAAGGCGCGUUUGCGUCGCCACAGGAUGGGCCCGCGGUGUAUUAGUUAGUUGGUGAGGUAAUGGCUCACCAAGACAAUGAUACAUAGCCGGACUGAGAGGUUGAACGGCCACACUGGAACUGAGACACGGUCCAGACGACUACGGUCGGCAGCAGUAGGGAAUUUUUCGCAAUGGACGAAAGUCUGACGGAGCAAUGCCGCGUGAGUGAUGAAGGUUUUCGGAUCGUAAAACUCUGUUGUGAGGGAAGAAUAAGUAGAUUAGGAAAUGAAUCUACCUUGACGGUACCUUGCCAGAAAGCCACGGCUAACUACGUGCCAGCAGCCGCGGUAAU